ACAGUUCCCCUUCACAUUGUACAACACAAAAAACUAACAAGUUUCUCGACUUCGAUAGAACUCUAUAGAGACUGUGGCUGCUACCUGACUCGUCACCUUUUCAGGGGCGUGGCCGAGCCGAAAAAAAAAAACAAAGGGCAACUGACA
This is a long non-coding RNA of Drosophila albomicans, 147 nucleotides long. RefSeq lists it as uncharacterized. The record is from RefSeq and is a predicted model, not a curated record. The transcript is spliced from 2 exons. NCBI's taxonomy places the organism in Eukaryota, Metazoa, Arthropoda, Insecta, Diptera, Drosophilidae.